GCUAUGUUUAUGUUCUUCAGUGUGGAAAAGAAUUCUCCUCCUUCUCAGGAUUCACAAUGUAGGACAAACUAAAGACAUAAACAGCAAGGUCAAGGGGAAAGCCCGCGAUGGCUGUGAACUCAGCAUGCUGCUGUAGCCCAGAGAGCCUCUGAGAAAGGGUAAUCCCCCAAAAGAAACACUCUGAAAUUGGCCCUGAAGUGUCAACAAGGUCACGUGUUUAACUGAAAAUUGAAAGCUCAUCUCUCAAAUGUUCCCUGAAAGUGCAGACUUUGUACCAGGAAUGAUAGAGAACCAGGCAGUCUCUUCCCCUUAGAAGCUCACGGUCCAUUGGAAAAGAUAAACAAGCAUCAGUCAGCUAUACUCUCCACAGCAGUGCUGCUGACUUUCUCUUCAUGUAAAACUCCAGUGCUGAUUUUGUAGCCAAUUUGCACAGAGUCCAUUUGCGUCGGAGACUCUCUCUUUGUUGGAUCAGGCCCUCCCCAGAAAGAGGCUUCCCGUGGCAGCCACUGUGUGACACCUGGAAAAUCUUGCUUGGUCCUCACUGCAUGUGUCCACAUUCAGCUCAUUCUUCAACGUCUGCGCUCUGUCCUAUUUCUUCCAUAGAGUUUCCCCAGAAGCUUCAAUGUGAACCGCUCUCCUC
Molecule: long non-coding RNA, 640 nt
Filed under: Equus asinus (donkey)
Lineage: Eukaryota; Metazoa; Chordata; Mammalia; Perissodactyla; Equidae
Description: lncRNA (ENSEASG00005024923.1)
Source: RNAcentral